GACGAACGCUGGCGGCGUGCUUAACACAUGCAAGUCGAACGGAAAGGCCCUGCUUUUGUGGGGUGCUCGAGUGGCGAACGGGUGAGUAACACGUGAGUAACCUGCCCUUGACUUUGGGAUAACUUCAGGAAACUGGGGCUAAUACCGGCUAGGAGCUCCUGCUGCAUGGUGGGGGUUGGAAAGUUUCGGCGGUUGGGGAUGGACUGGCGGCUUAUCAGCUUGUUGGUGGGGUAGUGGCUUACCAAGGCUUUGACGGGUAGCAGGCCUGAGAGGGUGACCGGCCACAUUGGGACUGAGAUACGGCCCAGACUCCUACGGGAGGCAGCAGUGGGGAAUAUUGCACAAUGGGCGGAAGCCUGAUGCAGCAACGCCGCGUGCGGGAUGGCGGCCUUCGGGUUGUAAACCGCUUUCGCCUGUGACGAAGCGUGAGUGACGGUAAUGGGUAAAGAAGCACCGGCUAACUACGUG
Molecule: ribosomal RNA, 468 nt
Filed under: uncultured bacterium
Lineage: Bacteria
Description: partial 16S ribosomal RNA
Rfam family: Bacterial small subunit ribosomal RNA
Source: RNAcentral